GACGAACGCUGGCGGCGUGCCUAAUACAUGCAAGUUGAGCGCUGAAGGUUGGUACUUGUACCAACUGGAUGAGCAGCGAACGGGUGAGUAACGCGUGGGGAAUCUGCCUUUGAGCGGGGGACAACAUUUGGAAACGAAUGCUAAUACCGCAUAAAAACUUUAAACACAAGUUUUAAGUUUGAAAGAUGCAAUUGCAUCACUCAAAGAUGAUCCCGCGUUGUAUUAGCUAGUUGGUGAGGUAAAGGCUCACCAAGGCGAUGAUACAUAGCCGACCUGAGAGGGUGAGCGGCCACACUGGGACUGAGACACGGCCCAAACUCCUACGGGAGGCAGCAGUAGGGAAUCUUCGGCAAGGGACGAAAGUCUGACCGAGCAACGCCGCGGGAGUGAAGAAGGUUUUCGGAUCGUAAAACUCUGUUGGUAGAGAAGAACGUUGGUGAGAGUGGAAAGCUCAUCAAGUGACGGUAACUACCCAGAAAGGGACGGCUAACUACGUG
RNAcentral lists this ribosomal RNA (497 nucleotides) under uncultured bacterium. RNAcentral describes it as "partial 16S ribosomal RNA". It matches the Rfam family "Bacterial small subunit ribosomal RNA", at positions 28 to 507 of the family's 1533-position model. The record is from RNAcentral.